GAGUUUGAUCAUGGCUCAGAUUGAACGCUGGCGGCAUGCUUUACACAUGCAAGUCGAACGGUAACAGGCCUUCGGGUGCUGACGAGUGGCGAACGGGUGAGUAAUGCAUCGGACGUACCCGGUCGUGGGGGAUAACGCAGCGAAAGCUGUGCUAAUACCGCAUACGAUCUGAGGAUGAAAGCGGGGGACCGAGCAGCAAUGUUUGGCCUCGCGCGAUCGGAGCGGCCGAUGUCGGAUUAGCUAGUUGGUGGGGUAAAGGCCUACCAAGGCGACGAUCCGUAGCUGGUCUGAGAGGACGACCAGCCACACUGGGACUGAGACACGGCCCAGACUCCUACGGGAGGCAGCAGUGGGGAAUUUUGGACAAUGGGCGCAAGCCUGAUCCAGCAAUGCCGCGUGCGGGAAGAAGGCCUUCGGGUUGUAAACCGCUUUUGGCAGGAACGAAACGGUGUCCGCUAAUACCGGGCGCUAAUGACGGUACCUGCAGAAUAAGCACCGGCUAACUACGUGCCAGCAGCCGCGGUAAUACG
This 530-nucleotide ribosomal RNA is filed under the name uncultured beta proteobacterium. RNAcentral describes it as "bacterial SSU rRNA". It matches the Rfam family "Bacterial small subunit ribosomal RNA", at positions 9 to 527 of the family's 1533-position model. Lineage: Bacteria; Pseudomonadati; Pseudomonadota; Betaproteobacteria. The record is from RNAcentral.